GGGAGAAACAUGUAGGAAUUGGUUUCUAGAUUGGGCGUGAACAACACCUGUUAAGCCAGCUGCCAUUUAGCUGCUAAGUGAGGUGAUAACCCAAGGGAGAAAGGAGACAGCGGUGGCCAAGUAGUUGGGCGGUGGCCGAGCGAGAAACACAUUUUUACUUCCUUCCUUACCCACCAAAUGUUAAGAGCGAGACCGAGAGAGAGACCAGGCCACAUUUCUUUCAUCUCAGUACUCAAACCAGGGGGAGAAAAAGGAAAUAUUUCUGAUUCUUCCUUACCUCCAGUUGCAACCGGAGAGUGAGGAGGAGAGAGUUAGACAGUGUUAGCUGCAUUCUUCCAGCUUGUGGCCUCAGAACCGUGAGCCAAGAGUGAGUACAAAGAGGAGUAUGGAGCAGUUGGGAACUGAAGCAGGAAACCAAACGUGCAGCCUGCAAUUUUUCAAACUUUAGAGGAAAAAAAGAGGUAAGCGACUGCAAUGACCCUCAUCUCAUCUGGUAUAACUAGCUUCCUAGGUUGCAUGUUGAAUUUUAGUGAGGAAAUGAGUCUUAGCUGAGAAUAACUUUGCUAGAUGACUGACUAAAAGAGAAGAGAAAAACAAAACUGGCAUCCGAGAGGACUAAGCUGAAAGUUUCAGCCUGUUAUUCAUGGGAAAUAGAGUUAGGAGUAUAUGUCAAAGGUUUAGAGUUCAGUUACACAUGAAAUUCAGAUACAAACUCAUGGGAAGCGGGGAGAGUAAACUGGAAAUGUUUAGAAUUAGCUGCUGGAAUUCUUUCAACUUCGGCCGAGAGAAAGGAAGGAGACUUACCAGAUUUCCUUACGAACUUUGGCUCCAAAAAUUCCACCUUGAGACUUGAUUUGUUGCAUAGUAUUUUAGCUGUAGCUUGCAUGGAAGAUUGGUAUAUAACUAAAAAUACUUUGACCAGCUUUAUGUUGCAUAACUAGUUCCUGCAAGAAUGUUUUUUUUUCAAGUUGGCCGAGAAGGAGGCCUGGUUCAGCUAUGGGUUUCAGUUCCCUUGGCUGUACACUUUACGUUGCUGUUAACGUAUACUGUGGCCGAAAGUUACCAUUUGUAUGAUAAGUAGGAAGUGAGGAAAUGAAGAACUCGAGAAGGAUAGUUUUGCUUUUGGAAUGUUUAUAGCUGAUAUGUUAUCAUUCGGCUUCUGAUGUGGGAGGUGCGAGUUUGCAAAUUGAUUUAUAGCGGAUCCGCACUUUUAACGUGUUAACACUAAAUAUCAUGAGUUAUAGAUCUUCAUGUAAAAUACAAAUGGAGAGCAAAAUAGCCACAAACUUUAAGGAAAAUAUUAAUUAUACCUACUGUCAUUUGGCUGGAGUAAAGUUAACAUGUUGCAGUAACAACUGAGAACUCAUCCGAAUAGUGUUAGGGGCUGAUUUGAGUUUAAUUAUGAGCUUGAACUAUGGGCAUAGAUGAACCUUAGCAAAGCAUGUGUUGACAGCAGGUAGAGAAAGCUAGAAGAUUAGCAAAUUUACGUAAACUUAAACUAUAGGCAGCUUAGAAUCUAAGUUGGUUAAAAACAAUGCAUGUAAAGGCUACUUGCCUUAACCUUAGAAUAGUGGAUAGAAAUGGUUUAAUCUUGAUCUAAAUAUUUUAGAAGUCUUUAAACUUGGAAUAUAUGUUUACUUCUUCAGUUAAAUUGACAAAAUUGAUAAGUUCGAGGUAAAAAAAUAAAAUAGAAAUUAAAUAUGUUAUAUCCUGUUCUAAACCAAGACGUGAAUUUAAUAAGUUCAAAGUAUAAGGUGACAAUGAUAAAGGCAAUAGGUUUCAAAAUAAAAUGUAGAAUAAAUAGUGACUAUAUUAUAUUUUGUAUUUUAAGGUCAAACUUGAUUUUAAUAGUUUAAAUAAUAAGAUAAGAAUAAUAAAUGAUCAUCUACAAAUUAUGUAUUUACUUGAAAUUAUUAACUUGUCCAGGAAGUAGCCGUGAGCCAGGAAACCACCCCGAAGCCCGAGAGUAGUUAUUUAAAAAUUUGGUGAGUGCUGCCAAAUUUAUGUGAUUAAUUGUUUAUGUUUCCUUAAGUGAAAUUAUGUGACAAAUGUACUUGUUAUGAAUAUUGCUGGUGAUUCCUUAUAAUGUGUAUAUCAAUUGUUCCUUGCCUUCUAAGUUGGGGUAUACUUUAUCGUACUCGACUUAAUAGAGUUGAAGGUCGAUAAUUGAUCAAAUAUUACUGUAAGUAUGCAUGAAUGUAAGUCAUAUGUGUACUUUACGGGAUCGGCUGAAUUGGGCCCCAAAACCCUUUGUUCAAAGGACUAUUCGAGCCAGCAAAAAGGACUUGGUCGGAUAGGACGGAAGCUCUGGGUAACUGUUUCGGUAUAUUCGAGUAUUACUCUGGAGUUGAGAGAUUACUGAACCGAUUAUUAAAUGUAGGGGAUUGUUUAUUGAUACGAGAGAGAUAAGGUGACGAAUUGGUGAUGCAGGCAAUGAUAUCGAGAUGAAUGUCUCAUGACACUGAAAUGAUUGUACAUUGUUAUUAAAAUGGCUCACAGGAGGAGUUCGUAUCUUUUUGAAAGUGAUUGUACAGUGAUUGGUUGCACUACUUGUUUAAUUGUCUUGAUUCAAAUGUUUGAUAACUGUUACUUGCUCGGCAAACCUCACUGAGCUUUAGCUCAACCGUUUAGUUUGUUUUCCUUACAGGAGUUGGAAGUCGGGGAUCCAACGAGGGAUCUUAGGGAGAUAGCGUGAAGACUUUGGUAUUGUGAAUAGUAUCUUACUAAGGUAGAUGCUUUUGUAUUGAACCAGAUAUUGUAAAAAGGAUGUGAACGGUUAGGAUUAGUUUAUCCAACUGGUAUCUCUGAAGUUAAUGUAAGAUGAUUGGAAGUUAUCCAACUGUUAUCUUUGAAGUUAAUGAGUCUUGGUGAGAGCCAGGCAAGCGAUCCGCCAACUUUUAGGGUAUGCCCUAGAAAGAGGUAGGAUCGUCACAAUUGUGCUUACCACUGUAAUCACAAUUAGCAAAGUUGUAUCAGCAAGUUCAGAUUAAAGCACUGGGAACCUCCAAAAGUUGUUUUCUCUCUUGAGAAAUAAUUUUAUCCUGAAUGAUUUAACAUAUACAAGUACUGAUGGAGUAGUACAU
This 3083-nucleotide long non-coding RNA is filed under the name Coffea arabica (coffee). RNAcentral describes it as "long non-coding RNA (CARA_LNC005354)". Lineage: Eukaryota; Viridiplantae; Streptophyta; Magnoliopsida; Gentianales; Rubiaceae. The record is from RNAcentral.